UGGGGAAUAUUGCGCAAUGGCCGCAAGGCUGACGCAGCGACGCCGCGUGUGGGAUGACGGUCUUCGGAUUGUAAACCACUGUCAGGGGGAACGAAUGCGGGACGUCGAAUAGGCGAUCUCGAGUGACGGUACCUCCAAAGGAAGCACCGGCUAACUCCGUGCCAGCAGCCGCGGUAAUACGGAGGGUGCGAGCGUUGUCCGGAAUCACUGGGCGUAAAGGGCGCGUAGGCGGUUCGGUAAGUUGCUGGUGAAAUCCCGGGGCUCAACUCCGGGGCUGACGGCAAGACUGUCGGACUUGAGCACGGUAGGGGCAGAUGGAAUUCCCGGUGUAGCGGUGGAAUGCGUAGAUAUCGGGAAGAAUACCAGUGGCGAAGGCGUUCUGCUGGGCCGUUGCUGACGCUGAGGCGCGACAGCGUGGGGAGCAAACAGG
Molecule: ribosomal RNA, 430 nt
Filed under: bacterium
Lineage: Bacteria
Description: partial 16S ribosomal RNA
Rfam family: Bacterial small subunit ribosomal RNA
Source: RNAcentral